CAGUCGCCGCGGGAAUACGAAGGGUGCAAGCGUUAAUCGGAAUUACUGGGCGUAAAGCGCACGCAGGCGGUUUGUUAAGUCAGAUGUGAAAUCCCCGAGCUUAACUUGGGAACUGCAUUUGAAACUGGCAAGCUAGAGUCUUGUAGAGGGGGGUAGAAUUCCAGGUGUAGCGGUGAAAUGCGUAGAGAUCUGGAGGAAUACCGGUGGCGAAGGCGGCCCCCUGGACAAAGACUGACGCUCAGGUGCGAAAGCGUGGGGAGCAAACAGGAUUAGAUACCCCAGUAGUCCCUGUCUCUUAUAC
RNAcentral lists this ribosomal RNA (301 nucleotides) under uncultured bacterium. RNAcentral's name for it is "partial 16S ribosomal RNA". It matches the Rfam family "Bacterial small subunit ribosomal RNA", at positions 509 to 807 of the family's 1533-position model. The record is from RNAcentral.